UUUUUUGUUUUGUUUUUCUGUUAAGCUUUAUUUUAAUUCCAGUGUAGUGACAGACAGUGUUAUAUUAGUUUCAGGUGUACAAUAUAACUCAACAAUUCCAUAUAAUCACCCAGAGCUCAUCAAGACAAACGCACUCCUUAAUCCCCAUCACCUACUUCAUCCAUCCAUCCAUCCACCCAUCCUCUGGUAACCAUCAAUUUGUUCUUUAUAGUUAAGAGUCUGUUUCUUGGAUUCUCUCUCUCUCUCUCUCUUUUUCCCGUUGCUCAUUUGUUUUGCUUCUUAAAUUCCACAUAUGAGUAUAUAGCAUUAUAAUCCCUAGCACCAUCCAUGUUGUUGCAAAGGAUUUACAGAAUUAGAAUAAACCUAAAACUUCCUUGGACUACAAAAGAACCAGAAUAGCCAAAGUAACCUUAAGAACAAAUCUGGAGGUCUCACAAUCCAAGAUUUCAAACUGCACUACAAAGCAACAGAGAAUGGUACUGGCAAAAACACAAUAAAUCAAGAGAACAUAACACCCCAGAAAUUAACUGAAGGUUAUACGGUCAAUUAAUCUAUGACAAAGGAGACAGGAAUUUACAAUGGGGAAAAACAGUCUCUUCAAUAAAUAGUGCUAGGAAAACAAACAACCACAUGCAAAUGAAUGAAACUGGAUCAGUUUCUUGCACAACACACAAAAAUAAACUGAAAAUAAAGACCAAAAUGAGGAGUGCCUGGUGCUAUAGUCCAUUAAGCAUCUGACUCUCAUCUCAGGUCUUGAUCUGUGUUCUAAGAGUUCCAGGCGCUGUGUUGGGCUCUAAGAUGGGCAUGGAGGCUGCUCAAAAAAUAAUAAUAAUAAAGGGGUGCCUGGGUGUCUCAGUUGGUUAAGCAUUUGGCUCAGAUCAAGAUCCCAGGGUCCUAGCAUCAAGACCUGCAUCUGGCUCCCCGCUCAGAGGAAGCCUGCUUUUCCCUCUUCCUCUGCAGUGCCCCCACCACCACUGGUGCUCCCACACUCACUCUGUCAAAUAAAUAAAUAAAAUCUUAAAUAAUAACAAUAAAAUAACGAUAAAGUCCAAGAUGUAAUAUCUGAAAGCAUAAAACUCCUAAAAGAAAACACAGACAGUAAAUUUACAGACAUCAGCCAUAGCGAUAAUUUUCUGGAUAUGUCUCCUCGGACAUGGGAAAUAAAAGCAAAAAUAAUUAAAUGGGGCUAUAUCAAACUAAAAAGCUUUUGCACAGUAAUGGAAAUAAUCAACAAAACAAAAAGAUGACCUCUAGAAUUGAAAAAAUAUUUACAAAUUAUAUAUCUGGUAAGGAGUUAAUAAUCAAAAUGUAUAAUAAAUGCAUGGAACUCACCACCAAAACAAAAAUCUAAUCAAAACAGGGCAGAGUACCUAAACAGACAUUUUUCGUAAAAAAACAAAACAAAACAAAACAAAAAACAAACAAACAAAAAAACACUACAUAUGGCCAAUUGACACAAGAAAAUAAGUUCAACGUCAUUAAGUUAUCAGGGAAUGCACAUCAAAACCACAAUAUCCAGGAUGCCUGGGAGGCUCCGCAGUUAAAGCCUCUGCCUUUGGCUCAGGAUGUGAUCCUAGAGUCCUGGGAUCCAGUCCCAGGCAGAGCUCCCUGCAGGGAACCUGCUUCUCCCUCUGCCUGUGUCUCUGCCUCUCUCUGUGUCUCUCUCAUGAAUAAAUAAGUAAAAUCUUAGAAAAACAAAAAAACAAAACCACAAUAUCACCUAACACCAGUCAGAAUGCCCAGGGUCGAAAAGAAAAAAAGUAAGUGUUGCACAGGAUGUAUCGAAAAGGGAACCCUUCUGCAAUGUUGGUGGAAACAUAAACUGAUGCAGCUGCUGUGGGAAACAGUGUGGACAAUCCUCAAAAAACUAAAAACACACGUAUCAUGCAAUACAGUAAUUCUACUUCUGAGUAUUUACCAAACAAAAACAAAAACAUGAAUAUCGAAAAGAUGUAUUUACCCUUAUGUUUAUUCCAGCAUUAUCUACAAUAACAAAGAUAUAGAAUCAACCUACACCUCCACCCAAGGAAGACUGGAUAAAAAAGAUGUGGUAUAUAGACACAAUGGAAUAUUUUACUUAGCCAUACUGAAGAAUGAAACCUUACCAUUACUGGUAAC
RNAcentral lists this long non-coding RNA (2118 nucleotides) under Canis lupus familiaris (dog). Its description in RNAcentral is "lncRNA (ENSCAFG00000054137.1, ENSCAFG00805020885.1, ENSCAFG00845021821.1)". The record is from RNAcentral. Lineage: Eukaryota; Metazoa; Chordata; Mammalia; Carnivora; Canidae.